GGAAGUAGGCCUUCCGAGGCCGCCUUACAGGAGGAGGCUUCAAACCACUCUAAGCUGCUGUGAUCAAAAGUCAUGGUAGUGAGCGUUAGAGAAAAGGUGUCUUACAAGGCAUCAGGU
Non-coding RNA from Candidatus Scalindua sp., 117 nucleotides. The record is from Rfam. Lineage: Bacteria; Pseudomonadati; Planctomycetota; Candidatus Brocadiia; Candidatus Brocadiales; Candidatus Scalinduaceae.